AAAGAUUGUUAAAUGGUCAAUUAAUGUAGCACGUAAAAACAAAUUUACAUAUUGACUGAAUCGAUGCAAAGUAAGAGAUGAGAUUUGCCAAAGACAAAAAAUCAAGUGGCAAAGUUAAUAAAAGAAAAAAUGACUUCAUUUACACUAUUUCUUACUGGAAAGAUGAUGAAACUGAUAUUGAAGCUGCUGACUAUUGCAUGAAAAAGACCCAGCAUGCUGCUGAUGUUGUUUCUGUACUAAAACAUCAUCAACAUAUCUAUUAUGAGUUUUACAUUCAUCUCUCAUAUUUGGUAGUUGUCUGGUAUGAAUUUAUUUUUUAAAUUGUUUCCAGUUUCAUAAUUUUUUUUUUUAAUUUACUCAAAUUUUGAAAACAGUAAUUGCAUAUUUUUUCUUUUUUUUUUUUAGGUUUGGGGUGGGGGGCAUACGCCCCUCCCAUAAUAGAAACACCACUUGUAUACGUAAGAUCUUGUAUAACAUAAUUUUAUAUUGUAUACUAGUUUUACUCAUUUUAGUAAAGAUAAAUAUUUAUAAAA
Molecule: long non-coding RNA, 533 nt
Organism: Hydra vulgaris (swiftwater hydra)
Lineage: Eukaryota; Metazoa; Cnidaria; Hydrozoa; Anthoathecata; Hydridae
Source: RefSeq, a predicted model, not a curated record